GAUGAACGCUGGCGGCGCGCCUAACACAUGCAAGUCGAACGGCACCCCUCUCCGGAGGGAAGCGAGUGGCGAACGGCUGAGUAACACGUGGAGAACCUGCCCCCUCCCCCGGGAUAGCCGCCCGAAAGGACGGGUAAUACCGGAUACCCCGGGGUGCCGCAUGGCACCCCGGCUAAAGCCCCGACGGGAGGGGAUGGCUCCGCGGCCCAUCAGGUAGACGGCGGGGUGACGGCCCACCGUGCCGACAACGGGUAGCCGGGUUGAGAGACCGACCGGCCAGAUUGGGACUGAGACACGGCCCAGACUCCUACGGGAGGCAGCAGUGGGGAAUCUUGCGCAAUGGGGGGAACCCUGACGCAGCGACGCCGCGUGCGGGACGGAGGCCUUCGGGUCGUAAACCGCUUUCAGCAGGGAAGAGUCAAGACUGUACCUGCAGAAGAAGCCCCGGCUAACUACGUG
Molecule: ribosomal RNA, 459 nt
Filed under: uncultured bacterium
Lineage: Bacteria
Also listed under: 1 other name
Description: bacterial SSU rRNA
Rfam family: Bacterial small subunit ribosomal RNA
Source: RNAcentral